Molecule: ribosomal RNA, 425 nt
Filed under: uncultured bacterium
Lineage: Bacteria
Description: bacterial SSU rRNA
Rfam family: Bacterial small subunit ribosomal RNA
Source: RNAcentral
GUUAGGAAUAUUGGACAAUGGGCGAAAGCCUGAUCCAGCCAUGCCGCGUGAACGAUGAAGGCCUUCGGGUUGUAAAGUUCUUUAGCCGAUGAUUAUAAUGACUGUAGUCGGAAAAUAAGCCCCGGCUAACUUCGUGCCAGCAGCCGCGGUAAUACGAAGGGGGCGAGCGUUAUUCGGAAUCACUGGGCGUAAAGCGUGCGUAGGCGGUUUUGUAAGUUAGGAGUGAAAGCCCAGGGCUCAACCUUGGAAUUGCUCUUAAAACUGCAAGGCUCGAAUCUCGGAGAGGAUAGCGGAAUUUCCAGUGUAGCAGUGAAAUGCGUAGAUAUUGGAAGGAACACCAGUGGCGUAAGCGGCUAUCUGGACGAGUAUUGACGCUGAGGCACGAAAGCGUGGGGAUCAAACAGGAUUAGAAACCCGAGUAGUCC